GAUGAACGCUGGCGGCGUGCCUAAUACAUGCAAGUCGAGCGAACAGACGAGGAGCUUUCUCCUCUGACGUUAGCGGCGUACGGGUGAGUAACACGUGGAUAACCUACCUAUAAGACUGGGAUAACUUCGGGAAACCGGAGCUAAUACCGGGUAAUAUAUUGAACCGCAUGGUUCAAUAGUGAAAGACGGUUUUGCUGUCACUUAUAGAUGGAUCCGCGCCGCAUUAGCUAGUUGGUAAGGUAACGGCUUAACAAGGCAACGAUGCGUAGCCGACCUGAGAGGGUGAUCGGCCAGACUGGAACUGAGACACGGUCCAGACUCCUACGGGAGGAAGCAGUAGGGAAUCUUCCGCAAAGGGCGAAAGCCUGACGGAGCAAAGCCGCGUGAGUGAUGAAGGUCUUAGGAUCGUAAAACUCUGUUAUUAGGGAAGAACAAAUGUGUAAGUAACUAUGCACGUCUUGACGGUACCUAAUCAGAAAGCCACGGCUAACUACGUG
This 497-nucleotide ribosomal RNA is filed under the name uncultured bacterium. Its description in RNAcentral is "partial 16S ribosomal RNA". It matches the Rfam family "Bacterial small subunit ribosomal RNA", at positions 28 to 507 of the family's 1533-position model. The record is from RNAcentral.